UUAAGUUAUUAAGGGCGCACGGUGGAUGCCUUGGCACUAGAAGCCGAUGAAGGACGUUACUAACGACGAUAUGCUUUGGGGAGCUGUAAGUAAGCUUUGAUCCAGAGAUUUCCGAAUGGGGAAACCCAGCAUGAGUUAUGUCAUGUUAUCGAUAUGUGAAUACAUAGCAUAUCAGAAGGCACACCCGGAGAACUGAAACAUCUUAGUACCCGGAGGAAGAGAAAGAAAAUUCGAUUCCCUUAGUAGCGGCGAGCGAAACGGGAAGAGCCCAAACCAAAAAGCUUGCUUGUUGGGGUUGUAGGACACUCUAUACGGAGUUACAAAGGACGACAUUAGACGAAUCAUCUGGAAAGAUGAAUCAAAGAAGGUAAUAAUCCUGUAGUCGAAAAUGUUGUCUCUCUUGAGUGGAUCCUGAGUACGACGGAGCACGUGAAAUUCCGUCGGAAUCUGGGAGGACCAUCUCCUAAGGCUAAAUACUCUCUAGUGACCGAUAGUGAACCAGUACCGUGAGGGAAAGGUGAAAAGCACCCCGGAAGGAGAGUGAAAUAGAACCUGAAACCGUGUGCUUACAAGUAGUCAGAGCCCGUUAAUGGGUGAUGGCGUGCCUUUUGUAGAAUGAACCGGCGAGUUACGAUUUGAUGCAAGGUUAAGCAGUAAAUGUGGAGCCGUAGCGAAAGCGAGUCUGAAUAGGGCGUUUAGUAUUUGGUCGUAGACCCGAAACCAGGUGAUCUACCCUUGGUCAGGUUGAAGUUCAGGUAACACUGAAUGGAGGACCGAACCGACUUACGUUGAAAAGUGAGCGGAUGAACUGAGGGUAGCGGAGAAAUUCCAAUCGAACCUGGAGAUAGCUGGUUCUCUCCGAAAUAGCUUUAGGGCUAGCCUCAAGUGAUGAUUAUUGGAGGUAGAGCACUGUUUGGACGAGGGGCCCCUCUCGGGUUACCGAAUUCAGACAAACUCCGAAUGCCAAUUAAUUUAACUUGGGAGUCAGAACAUGGGUGAUAAGGUCCGUGUUCGAAAGGGAAACAGCCCAGACCACCAGCUAAGGUCCCAAAAUAUAUGUUAAGUGGAAAAGGAUGUGGCGUUGCCCAGACAACUAGGAUGUUGGCUUAGAAGCAGCCAUCAUUUAAAGAGUGCGUACUAGCUCACUAGUCGAGUGACACUGCGCCGAAAAUGUACCGGGGCUAAACAUAUUACCGAAGCUGUGGAUUGUCCUUUGGACAAUGGUAGGAGAGCGUUCUAAGGGCGUUGAAGCAUGAUCGUAAGGACAUGUGGUGCGCUUAGAAGUGAGAAUGCCGGUGUGAGUAGCGAAAGACGGGUGAGAAUCCCGUCCACCGAUUGACUAAGGUUUCCAGAGGAAGGCUCGUCCGCUCUGGGUUAGUCGGGUCCUAAGCUGAGGCCGACAGGCGUAGGCGAUGGAUAACAGGUUGAUAUUCCUGUACCACCUAUAAUCGUUUUAAUCGAUGGGGGGACGCAGUAGGAUAGGCGAAGCGUGCGAUUGGAUUGCACGUCUAAGCAGUAAGGCUGAGUAUUAGGCAAAUCCGGUACUCGUUAAGGCUGAGCUGUGAUGGGGAGAAGACAUUGAGUCUUCGAGUCGUUGAUUUCACACUGCCGAGAAAAGCCUCUAGAUAGAAAAUAGGUGCCCGUACCGCAAACCGACACAGGUAGUCAAGAUGAGAAUUCUAAGGUGAGCGAGCGAACUCUCGUUAAGGAACUCGGCAAAAUGACCCCGUAACUUCGGGAGAAGGGGUGCUCUUUAGGGUUAACGCCCAGAAGAGCCGCAGUGAAUAGGCCCAAGCGACUGUUUAUCAAAAACACAGGUCUCUGCUAAACCGUAAGGUGAUGUAUAGGGGCUGACGCCUGCCCGGUGCUGGAAGGUUAAGAGGAGUGGUUAGCUUCUGCGAAGCUACGAAUCGAAGCCCCAGUAAACGGCGGCCGUAACUAUAACGGUCCUAAGGUAGCGAAAUUCCUUGUCGGGUAAGUUCCGACCCGCACGAAAGGCGUAACGAUUUGGGCACUGUCUCAACGAGAGACUCGGUGAAAUCAUAGUACCUGUGAAGAUGCAGGUUACCCGCGACAGGACGGAAAGACCCCGUGGAGCUUUACUGUAGCCUGAUAUUGAAAUUCGGCACAGCUUGUACAGGAUAGGUAGGAGCCUUUGAAACGUGAGCGCUAGCUUACGUGGAGGCGCUGGUGGGAUACUACCCUAGCUGUGUUGGCUUUCUAACCCGCACCACUUAUCGUGGUGGGAGACAGUGUCAGGCGGGCAGUUUGACUGGGGCGGUCGCCUCCUAAAAGGUAACGGAGGCGCUCAAAGGUUCCCUCAGAAUGGUUGGAAAUCAUUCAUAGAGUGUAAAGGCAUAAGGGAGCUUGACUGCGAGACCUACAAGUCGAGCAGGGUCGAAAGACGGACUUAGUGAUCCGGUGGUUCCGCAUGGAAGGGCCAUCGCUCAACGGAUAAAAGCUACCCCGGGGAUAACAGGCUUAUCUCCCCCAAGAGUUCACAUCGACGGGGAGGUUUGGCACCUCGAUGUCGGCUCAUCGCAUCCUGGGGCUGUAGUCGGUCCCAAGGGUUGGGCUGUUCGCCCAUUAAAGCGGUACGCGAGCUGGGUUCAGAACGUCGUGAGACAGUUCGGUCCCUAUCCGUCGUGGGCGUAGGAAAUUUGAGAGGAGCUGUCCUUAGUACGAGAGGACCGGGAUGGACAUACCUCUGGUGUACCAGUUGUCGUGCCAACGGCAUAGCUGGGUAGCUAUGUGUGGACGGGAUAAGUGCUGAAAGCAUCUAAGCAUGAAGCCCCCCUCAAGAUGAGAUUUCCCAACUUCGGUUAUAAGAUCCCUCAAAGAUGAUGAGGUUAAUAGGUUCGAGGUGGAAGCAUGGUGACAUGUGGAGCUGACGAAUACUAAUCGAUCGAAGACUUAAUCAA
RNAcentral lists this ribosomal RNA (2921 nucleotides) under Staphylococcus aureus M0642. Its description in RNAcentral is "bacterial LSU rRNA". It matches the Rfam family "Bacterial large subunit ribosomal RNA". The record is from RNAcentral. Lineage: Bacteria; Bacillati; Bacillota; Bacilli; Caryophanales; Staphylococcaceae.